CCAUAAACAGGAAGUAGUAUUAUACAGUACAGAGAGGUUCCAUAUACAGGAAGUAGUAUUAUACAGUACAGAGGGGUUCCAUAAACAGGAAGUAGUAUUAUACAGUACAGGAAGUAGUAUUAUACAGUACAGAGAGGUUCCAUAAACAGGAAGUAGUAUUAUACAGUACAGAGAGGUUCCAUAAACAGGAAGUAG
Long non-coding RNA from Oncorhynchus tshawytscha (Chinook salmon), 195 nucleotides. RefSeq lists it as uncharacterized. NCBI's taxonomy places the organism in Eukaryota, Metazoa, Chordata, Actinopteri, Salmoniformes, Salmonidae. The record is from RefSeq and is a predicted model, not a curated record. The transcript is spliced from 2 exons.